This is a long non-coding RNA of Maniola jurtina (meadow brown), 3894 nucleotides long. RefSeq lists it as uncharacterized. The record is from RefSeq and is a predicted model, not a curated record. Lineage: Eukaryota; Metazoa; Arthropoda; Insecta; Lepidoptera; Nymphalidae. The transcript has 2 exons.
GCAAAUCCCGAUACAAACCAGUUGCUGAAGCUAACUAAAACCUCACAGUAAGGCGUUGAUUGAUUUCCUCAACUUAAUGUCACGGAACACCCUAUCAAGCCAAGUUAAGUCGAUGCCCCGCGGUAACCUAUGGAAGGUAAAACAGAUUCCCUAAUAAGAUCAUCGUUCGUGAGUUCGUGGUUCGUGAUCAGCUACCAAAUUGAAGUAUAGAGGCUUGUUUACCGGAAUCAGAAUAUACAUACCGCGAUUACAAAAGGUACAGCAGAUAAAGUUCCAAUUAUUCUAGAAAUUUAAUAUGAGAACUAAAUCAAGCGAUAACUUUCACGGUCUUCUCAACUACGAAACAAUUUACAAGCUCAACAGUAGAAUCGGUGCCGUACCCGGCUUCGGACACUCGUGUCUAUAUCAGCAUAAAAAGUCUUCGCGAUUAUUCACUUGAAGAGGUUUAGUAUACCAGAACUCAGCAUUCUUUUUCGCCUCGACGGACUACAUAAUGUAUUUACAUAAUAUCGUUGCAGAAUCUUUUUAACAAGAUGUACGAGGCUCACUGUAAGUAAGGAUCGAAGUAUCCCUGCAAUAUACAUAUUACUCCCACAGAAUAUUUAUCCUCGUCCCAUUAUGGCGUCGACGGUGCCUCGCGGUUUAAAGACUCCGGAAAGGUUUUUACCAAUUUGUCUGAUCGUUGAGGGGCUUUCACGGAUAUUCUUCCAUAACAGGAUCAAACAAUUGAAUUUUGAAAUACAUAUCGGUCGAGCGUGCAUUCCGGUAUGCUGCUACGAAAGGUUUUUACCAAAUUUUUGUAAUGGACAGCGACGGUGUUCAAGAGAAUCCUGACAUCAAGUUACUCGAGUAAAUGUCGUCGAUUGUAUGCGGUAUCAUUUUUUUGAAGUUUGUUAAUCCAGAGAUCACAAUAACUCGGAAUAAGCAUUGGCGUUGCUUUGCGGUUUCACCUCGGAAAUUUUUCACCAGAUAUAAAGUAAGCGUUGACGAUGCUUCCUCUGACAGCAUUUCUCGUGGCAGUGAUCAUAUUUACUCAAUCCAGACAUCCACAGUUUCGCCGCUUACAAUCAUCAUUACAUUAAUGGAGGUAUCUUUCUAACGUUAAAGGAUCAUGAGAGUAACGAGUGGAAGAUUUUGUUUGAAAUACACAGAGGAAGUUUCGCAACACUCCGCUAAUCAAUGUUUGUAUCAAUUUCAAGUCAGCAUCGGCGGUGCUCGAUGGUUAAUUUCGGAAUCCGGUUCGCAGAAUUAUAAACUUCAGAUCACGGAGGUUGCAGUACUUUAACUACGCAAGGUUUACACUAAUUUAUUGUAGAAAAUAUAACCGGUCCUUAGCGAUUUCAAAAUGAAGAGAAGUUCGAGUGUACGAGUAUAAUAAACGCGGAGAUAUUGAUACAGUAAAAAGCGCCGUCGGUGACAGAUUACCAGCGUGGUAAAGGUAUUGAGUGUAAAUUUUAGUAGCAUGUUUUCGAUAUGUUUGUACGUCACAGAAUGACUCCACUAAUAAUUUUGAUGAACAGCAUGAAGACUACAAAAGGUGCAGGUUAUAAAAAGUCUUAUUUAGAAUUCCAGCUUCCUGUUAUCACUGUUGUCGUCUACAUGUCACACUUUAGAUGGUACUGCAAUCUUGGUUUUAACAUUUAGAGCUUUAAUCAAACAUAAUAAUAUAAUUAUUGUCAUCCUGUGUAGGUGCACUUGCUAAAUCUGAUAGAGCCUACGAAACGCAUGCUUCACCAUGAAAUGAAAUAAAUAUAAAUUGGAUUGGAGUUCGAAGUUUUCGACUACAUCCCAAGGUACACAAUUUGGCUUUGAUAAAUAAAUUCAAACUAGAGAUUCCUGAUGCCUAUCCGAGACAAGAAAAUCUACUCAUGCACCGGUGGAAGCAUUAAGUAUUAAACACUUGGGUAUAUAUUUUAAUAACAAUUUUUCAUAUAAUUUUGAAUUAAAAAUAUUUACGUUUUCUUAUUCUUGAUGCCUAUUUAUGUGGUUUUAUCUAGACGUGGUAUGAAUUAAUUUAAGGCCUUAACUAUUUUGUCCGUUUUGAACAUAUAGCUUGCUUUAAACCUGGUGCUUGCAGACACGAUUGAAGAGUUUUCAUUAUCGGAAAGGUGUUGAAAUGUGAAUUUCUAAAUAUGGUAUGAAUAACUUUAAGGCCUUAACUAUUUUGUCCGUUUUUUAAAUAUAGCUUGCUUUAAACCUGGUGCUUGAAUGGAGAUAAUUGAAGAGUUGUCACUGUUGGAAAGGUAUUGAAAUGCGAUCUUCUCCUUAGCAUGUUUGGAUGGAUCUGUUUCGAGGAGUUCACUCUAAUCUUGCAUAAACUUGCCAAGCAAAGCGUAGCUGUAGAUAACCUUGUCGACGCUAAUUAAUGUGUAAGUAAUUGUGUCACGUGAUUGUUAACUGUAGUUUUCAAAACAUCAAGUGCAGCAUCACAUAAAAUAGGCGGCUUCUAAUGCUAAUGGGUAUCAAUGUAAGUGUAAAUUAACUUUUAGAAACCGACCUAAUUCAGAAGUUCAACACUGUUGUUUGUCUUCUUAUUAAUACCUACGUAAAUAGUUACUGCAUCUACUAUAACUAUUGUAGCGGUUUGUUUUGGCUUGUACGUGUUGUUUUCUUCUAAACUGCAAUUCUGAUUGUCCUUUUUGGCUUCUGUCCCCAAAAUCUGAAUUUAGAUAUGUUCUCGUUGUUAGAGAAUCGGCUUUAAAACAAAGGGUACAAAAUAUUUUUAAUUUAUAUGUAAAGAGCGAUAAAUGAAUUUUUAUAAAAAAUCUUAGCUAAGUAUAAGAUUUAUAACGGGAGAUACUGUAUAAAUCUUCUUAAUUACGUCGUCAUUAAAACAAAACUUUAUAUUUAAAUAUAAAAUUCUUCUGUGAAACUAAAUGACUGUACAUUUGAAAUCCUCACAUCCAACAUUUGGAUAUAUUUUAUGCUUGAGCUCCGUUUUUCAAUUGACAGUACCCAGCAUAAAAUACAAUAAUAAUUCUAUGCUAGCUAUUGAAGCUUUUGAUUACUAGCAUCAAUAUGCAAUAAUGUAUCUAAAUGUGGGCUACAUUUUACUUUAAUAUUAUUUUUGUUUGUUUUUCAAUAGUAUUUUAUUCAUUACACUGUACAGGUCCAGAUAAUAACUAGAAAUUCAAUUUUAUGUUAACUAUGCCUAUAAAUUAUUAAUAAGGUGUUAGCAAUCGAAAACCAUAAAACAAAACCACAAGACAAGACGUAAGAAGAAGAAUAUAAAUCAUCAAUGAACAAAUGAAAACAUUUUGGAAACUAGAAAAUACAAAAUAUUUUUUAGGCAAAUAUUAUAAUUUAUAAAUAAUUUAAUAAAGGUAAUAAAUUAUGCGAUAAUUAUAUAAACUAGAUGAUAUACGGACAGAUAAUAAGUACAAUAAAUUAUUUUAGUAUUAAGUUUGGUUGAAAGUAGGUAAAAUUAUUCUGUUUUAGGAUAAGAAAAUAAAUAAUUUACUCUUGUUACAGAUUCUUAUAAAAAAUAUUUUAGGUACCGAUAAGUACGUUAAAUAACGAAUGUUCUUUUAGAACUUGCCACAUUAGGAUUUAUGACAAUAACAGUUGGUUAAGUUUGUACAAAAAUGUUUCUAAACUUUUCAGAAUCAUUAUUCCUACGUACUAGGUCGUUAGAACCGGGCGAUGAUACUAGGUAAAGCUAAUUUGUUAUCAGGCAGGGUAAGGUAAAAAUAUUACUUUUAUCAUUUGACAAACAAUUGGCUUUAAAUUCACACUAAAAAAGGUGAUGCCUGUGGAGUUUCUUGCGCCGCUUCUUCUCCACAGAAGAACACCUUCCGAAGCGGUGGUAGAUUUUUUCCAAAUUCAAAAAAUAUAUAAAAUGUAAAAGAUAUAAUAUAAUUGAUGAAACAGAAAUAAAAAGUUAAUUUGAGCAUA